RNAcentral lists this microRNA precursor (78 nucleotides) under Trichobilharzia regenti. RNAcentral's name for it is "mir-3492 microRNA precursor family". It matches the Rfam family "mir-3492 microRNA precursor family". The record is from Rfam by way of RNAcentral. Lineage: Eukaryota; Metazoa; Platyhelminthes; Trematoda; Strigeidida; Schistosomatidae.
ACCUUUCCGUACCCAUGCUUAGAUUUCGUCAGCGACCAACGCUUUGGGGCUGAUGCAACUUCACAAAUAAGUGAAGCA